This 459-nucleotide ribosomal RNA is filed under the name uncultured bacterium. Its description in RNAcentral is "partial 16S ribosomal RNA". It matches the Rfam family "Bacterial small subunit ribosomal RNA", at positions 338 to 795 of the family's 1533-position model. The record is from RNAcentral.
CCUACGGGUGGCAGCAGUGAGGAAUAUUGGUCAAUGGACGCAAGUCUGAACCAGCCAUGCCGCGUGAGGGAAGACGGUCCUAUGGAUUGUAAACCUCUUUUGUCGGGGAGCAAAAGACGCCACGCGUGGCGUUCCGAGAGUACCCGAAGAAAAAGCAUCGGCUAAGUCCGUGCCAGCAGCCGCGGUAAUACGGAGGAUGCGAGCGUUAUCCGGCUUUAUUGGGUUUAAAGGGUGGGCAGGAGGAAGAUCGAGUCUUCGGUGAAAGUGAGAGGCUCAACCUCUUCGAGCCGUUGAAACUGGUUUUCUUGAGUGAGUGAGAAGUAUGCGGAAUGCGUGGUGUAGCGGUGAAAUGCAUAGAUAUCACGCAGAACUCCGAUUGCGAAGGCAGCAUACCGGCGCUCAACUGACGCUCAUGCACGAAAGUGUGGGUAUCGAACAGGAUUAGAUACCCCAGUAGUC